GGGGCUGUAGCUCAGUGGUAGAGUGCUCGCUUAGCAUGUGUGAGGCACUGGGUUCCAUCCUCAGCACCA
This 69-nucleotide transfer RNA is filed under the name Ictidomys tridecemlineatus (thirteen-lined ground squirrel). Its description in RNAcentral is "Spermophilus tridecemlineatus (thirteen-lined ground squirrel) tRNA". It matches the Rfam family "tRNA". From Rfam's summary of the family: Transfer RNA (tRNA) molecules are approximately 80 nucleotides in length. Their secondary structure includes four short double-helical elements and three loops (D, anti-codon, and T loops). Further hydrogen bonds mediate the characteristic L-shaped molecular structure. tRNAs have two regions of fundamental functional importance: the anti-codon, which is responsible for specific mRNA codon recognition, and the 3' end, to which the tRNAs corresponding amino acid is attached (by aminoacyl-tRNA synthetases). tRNAs cope with the degeneracy of the genetic code in two manners: having more than one tRNA (with a specific anti-codon) for a particular amino acid; and 'wobble' base-pairing, i.e. permitting non-standard base-pairing at the 3rd anti-codon position. The record is from Rfam by way of RNAcentral. Lineage: Eukaryota; Metazoa; Chordata; Mammalia; Rodentia; Sciuridae.